Molecule: ribosomal RNA, 2923 nt
Filed under: Klebsiella pneumoniae
Lineage: Bacteria; Pseudomonadati; Pseudomonadota; Gammaproteobacteria; Enterobacterales; Enterobacteriaceae
Description: bacterial LSU rRNA
Rfam family: Bacterial large subunit ribosomal RNA
Source: RNAcentral
GGGUUGUGAGGUUAAGCGACUAAGCGUACACGGUGGAUGCCCUGGCAGUCAGAGGCGAUGAAGGACGUGCUAAUCUGCGAAAAGCGUCGGUAAGGUGAUAUGAACCGUUAUAACCGGCGAUGUCCGAAUGGGGAAACCCAGUGCAAUUCGUUGCACUAUCGUUAACUGAAUACAUAGGUUAACGAGGCGAACCGGGGGAACUGAAACAUCUAAGUACCCCGAGGAAAAGAAAUCAACCGAGAUUCCCCCAGUAGCGGCGAGCGAACGGGGAGCAGCCCAGAGUCUGAAUCAGCUUGUGUGUUAGUGGAACGGUCUGGAAAGUCCGACGGUACAGGGUGAUAGUCCCGUACACCAAAAUGCACAGGUUGUGAACUCGAAGAGUAGGGCGGGACACGUGGUAUCCUGUCUGAAUAUGGGGGGACCAUCCUCCAAGGCUAAAUACUCCUGACUGACCGAUAGUGAACCAGUACCGUGAGGGAAAGGCGAAAAGAACCCCGGCGAGGGGAGUGAAAAAGAACCUGAAACCGUGUACGUACAAGCAGUGGGAGCACCUUCGGGUGUGACUGCGUACCUUUUGUAUAAUGGGUCAGCGACUUAUAUUCUGUAGCAAGGUUAACCGUAUAGGGGAGCCGCAGGGAAACCGAGUCUUAACUGGGCGUUAAGUUGCAGGGUAUAGACCCGAAACCCGGUGAUCUAGCCAUGGGCAGGUUGAAGGUUGGGUAACACUAACUGGAGGACCGAACCGACUAAUGUUGAAAAAUUAGCGGAUGACUUGUGGCUGGGGGUGAAAGGCCAAUCAAACCGGGAGAUAGCUGGUUCUCCCCGAAAGCUAUUUAGGUAGCGCCUCGUGAAUUCAUCUUCGGGGGUAGAGCACUGUUUCGGCUAGGGGGUCAUCCCGACUUACCAACCCGAUGCAAACUACGAAUACCGAAGAAUGUUAUCACGGGAGACACACGGCGGGUGCUAACGUCCGUCGUGAAGAGGGAAACAACCCAGACCGCCAGCUAAGGUCCCAAAGUCAUGGUUAAGUGGGAAACGAUGUGGGAAGGCACAGACAGCCAGGAUGUUGGCUUAGAAGCAGCCAUCAUUUAAAGAAAGCGUAAUAGCUCACUGGUCGAGUCGGCCUGCGCGGAAGAUGUAACGGGGCUAAACCAUGCACCGAAGCUGCGGCAGCGACACUAUGUGUUGUUGGGUAGGGGAGCGUUCUGUAAGCCUGCGAAGGUGUGCUGUGAGGCAUGCUGGAGGUAUCAGAAGUGCGAAUGCUGACAUAAGUAACGAUAAAGCGGGUGAAAAGCCCGCUCGCCGGAAGACCAAGGGUUCCUGUCCAACGUUAAUCGGGGCAGGGUGAGUCGACCCCUAAGGCGAGGCCGAAAGGCGUAGUCGAUGGGAAACAGGUUAAUAUUCCUGUACUUGGUGUUACUGCGAAGGGGGGACGGAGAAGGCUAUGUUAGCCGGGCGACGGUUGUCCCGGUUUAAGCAUGUAGGCUGAUUAUCCAGGCAAAUCCGGAUAAUCAAGGCUGAGGUGUGAUGACGAGGCACUACGGUGCUGAAGUAACAAAUGCCCUGCUUCCAGGAAAAGCCUCUAAGCAUCAGGUAACAUCAAAUCGUACCCCAAACCGACACAGGUGGUCAGGUAGAGAAUACCAAGGCGCUUGAGAGAACUCGGGUGAAGGAACUAGGCAAAAUGGUGCCGUAACUUCGGGAGAAGGCACGCUGGUGUGUAGGUGAAGCCUCUGCGGGUGGAGCUGAGACCAGUCGAAGAUACCAGCUGGCUGCAACUGUUUAUUAAAAACACAGCACUGUGCAAACACGAAAGUGGACGUAUACGGUGUGACGCCUGCCCGGUGCCGGAAGGUUAAUUGAUGGGGUUAUCCGUAAGGAGAAGCUCUUGAUCGAAGCCCCGGUAAACGGCGGCCGUAACUAUAACGGUCCUAAGGUAGCGAAAUUCCUUGUCGGGUAAGUUCCGACCUGCACGAAUGGCGUAAUGAUGGCCAGGCUGUCUCCACCCGAGACUCAGUGAAAUUGAACUCGCUGUGAAGAUGCAGUGUACCCGCGGCAAGACGGAAAGACCCCGUGAACCUUUACUAUAGCUUGACACUGAACAUUGAGCCUUGAUGUGUAGGAUAGGUGGGAGGCUUUGAAGCGUGGACGCCAGUCUGCGUGGAGCCAACCUUGAAAUACCACCCUUUAAUGUUUGAUGUUCUAACGUUGGCCCCUUACCGGGGUUGCGGACAGUGUCUGGUGGGUAGUUUGACUGGGGCGGUCUCCUCCUAAAGCGUAACGGAGGAGCACGAAGGUUAGCUAAUCCUGGUCGGACAUCAGGAGGUUAGUGCAAUGGCAUAAGCUAGCUUGACUGCGAGCGUGACGGCGCGAGCAGGUGCGAAAGCAGGUCAUAGUGAUCCGGUGGUUCUGAAUGGAAGGGCCAUCGCUCAACGGAUAAAAGGUACUCCGGGGAUAACAGGCUGAUACCGCCCAAGAGUUCAUAUCGACGGCGGUGUUUGGCACCUCGAUGUCGGCUCAUCACAUCCUGGGGCUGAAGUAGGUCCCAAGGGUAUGGCUGUUCGCCAUUUAAAGUGGUACGCGAGCUGGGUUUAGAACGUCGUGAGACAGUUCGGUCCCUAUCUGCCGUGGGCGCUGGAGAAUUGAGGGGGGCUGCUCCUAGUACGAGAGGACCGGAGUGGACGCAUCACUGGUGUUCGGGUUGUCAUGCCAAUGGCACUGCCCGGUAGCUAAAUGCGGAAGAGAUAAGUGCUGAAAGCAUCUAAGCACGAAACUUGCCCCGAGAUGAGUUCUCCCUGAGACUUUAAGUCUCCUGAAGGAACGUUGAAGACGACGACGUUGAUAGGCCGGGUAUGUAAGCGCAGCGAUGCGUUGAGCUAACCGGUACUAAUGAACCGUGAGGCUUAACCUUACAACGCCGAAG